ACUAAACGGUCACAGCCAUUUAUGUGUUCUAGGGUCUGUUCGUGUAUUUGGCACCUGUCAACUUUUCUGAGUCUCUCAUGCAAUUUAUAAAUUCUUGCUAUUCUACAAUUUUACUAAUGUUCCAUUAAGUAAUGAGAACGAAGUUUUAUUAGUGAAGAUGUUCUAAAGCUGCUGAGAAAUGGGGUGGCAUAGGAUUGCGAAAAUGCACGUAAAAAAUAGUCCUGGCGCUUUGCUUUCUUAAUUGCUAGCAAUGAAAAAUCCCUAAUAAAAUUAGCAAAGGGACACUUGCUUUAGGUAAGUUCAUUAAGAUACGUUCCAGAAGCAGGCUAAGUUUGCAGCAACAAAAGCACUGAGAAAAACUCACUGAUCUAAAAACAUGUUAGUUUCUGCUUUUCCAAGUGUGCUGCUUGUGUACAGUGUGUCACGGUAAAUAAUGGUUAAUAAUGUAUGCAUAGAAAAGUGUGGAUGCUGAGAGAAAGCUUUAGGAAAGUGCGUGCUGUCUUUCCAACACAGGAUUUCUGUCUAGAAUUUUUGUAAAAUAUGAAGUGCACAGGCUGGCAAACAAUGUUCAACACUUUUGCUUUAGAUUUUAAUGUAGCCAGUUCAUUAUGUGUCCCUAGUAUAGCUUAGCGUCAAGCUUGAAGCUGAUCUCUGAUGUCACAUCAGUUGCAGGAUGCAAUAACGUGGUAUCACAUACUGCUUGUUACGCAUGUCAGUAAACCUGGUGCAGUUGUCACAGGUGAGAGUAUAACUGAAAGCUGCGCAUUCUUUGCCCUUCUGCACAUGAUGUGGGAUAGAGUUUGAACUAUGCUAUAGUGGCACCAUCUCCCUCACCUUCUCUUCCUCAUUAUUCUGUCAACUUGCAAUAAUAUGCACAACUUCUAGAGGCUUGAUUAUGGUGUUGUCUGCUGAACUUGGCUGAUGUGAAUUUCAGUAGUUUGGGGUACCCUCAAAGCUAUGCUGUACUUUUCAUGCAUUUUAAAAUGGUCAGUUUGACAUAUGUGAUUGGCUGUGGCAUUCUGAGAGAAACAAGGCCUCUUGUGAAUAAUGCAUAUAUGCAUUAUUAGCAUUUUCUAAUACUCUUUCAAGAAGCAGCCUACAGGCUGCUCCCCGAAGAAGUGACCACCUUUGCUUACGCUACGUGGCAGUCUGGUCCAGUUUACUUAACCUGUCUGCCAUCUAUGCACGAAAACGAGGAGAGAAGCGAAAAAAGGGACCUUCGAUUUAUGUUUUUGCACAGAUGGCUCAUACAUUGCACUUUUCUUAUCUCGCAUGCUUUGUUAACUCAAAGCUUUCUAUGGGCGAAUAUCAUUUCAUUCCUAUUUAUACCUAAUAAGAAUUACUUAGUUCACAGUGUCACUUUUUAUAUUAUACUUUUGUGAGACUAAGCUCACUUGUUUUAAUGCAAGUGUGGCUGGGCCUGCAGAAAGAGUAAGCAGACUACUGUGUUGCUGAUCAGUGCUGAUCUCCACGUCCGAGCUGGUCCCACAACAUCCAGGCACCACUGUGCUUUGCUUCAUUGACAAGGUGUGGCUGGGCCUGCAGAAAAGCUGUAAGGAGACUGCAGUGUUGCUGAUCAGUGCUGAUCUCCACGUCCGAGCUGGUCCCACAACAUCCAGGCACCACUGUGCUUUCACAAGAUGCAUACGAGCACUGUUUCAAAAACGCCGAACACUGUGGAUACGGAGGCAAGGAGGCUGAAGGACCUGAACAAGCACCUGGUCACGAUGCUUCGGAAUACAAAAUAAAGAUGGUUUGUGUUAA
This is a non-coding RNA of Dermacentor albipictus, 1764 nucleotides long. Lineage: Eukaryota; Metazoa; Arthropoda; Arachnida; Ixodida; Ixodidae. The record is from RefSeq and is a predicted model, not a curated record.